CCACUCUGCCACUUACAAUAC
This 21-nucleotide non-coding RNA is filed under the name Arabidopsis thaliana (thale cress). Lineage: Eukaryota; Viridiplantae; Streptophyta; Magnoliopsida; Brassicales; Brassicaceae. The record is from RNAcentral.